CGGCGUGCCUAAUACAUGCAAGUAGAACGCACAGGAUGCACCGUAGUUUACUACACCGUAUUCUGUGAGUUGCGAACGGGUGAGUAACGCGUAGGUAACCUGCCUGGUAGCGGGGGAUAACUAUUGGAAACGAUAGCUAAUACCGCAUAAGAACAUUUACUGCAUGGUAGAUGUUUAAAAGGUGCAAGAGCAUCACUACCAGAUGGACCUGCGUUGUAUUAGCUAGUUGGUGAGGUAACGGCUCACCAAGGCAACGAUACAUAGCCGACCUGAGAGGGUGAUCGGCCACACUGGGACUGAGACACGGCCCAGACUCCUACGGGAGGCAGCAGUAGGGAAUCUUCGGCAAUGGGGGGAACCCUGACCGAGCAACGCCGCGUGAGUGAAGAAGGUUUUCGGAUCGUAAAGCUCUGUUGUUAAGGAAGAACGUGUGUGAGAGUGGAAAGUUCACACAGUGACGGUACUUAACCAGAAAGGGACGGCUAACUACGUGCCAGCAGCCGCGGUAAUACGUAGGUCCCGAGCGUUGUCCGGAUUUAUUGGGCGUAAAGCGAGCGCAGGCGGUUAGAUAAGUCUGAAGUGAAAGGCAGUGGCUCAACCAUUGUAGGCUUUGGAAACUGUUUAACUUGAGUGCAGAAGGGGAGAGUGGAAUUCCAUGUGUAGCGGUGAAAUGCGUAGAUAUAUGGAGGAACACCGGUGGCGAAAGCGGCUCUCUGGUCUGUAACUGACGCUGAGGUUGGGAAGCGUGGGGAGCGAACAGGAUUAGAUACCCUGGUAGUUCACCCCGUAAACGAUGAGUGUUAGGUGUUAGGUCCUUUCGGGGACUAGGUGCCGCAGCUAACGCAUUAAGCCACUCCGCUUGGGGAGUACGACCGCAAGGUUGAAACUCAAAGGAAUUGACGGGGCCCCGCACAAGCGGUGGAGCAUGUGGUUUAAUUAGAAGCAACGCGAAGAACCUUACCAGGUCUUGACAUCCCUCUGACCACUCUAGAGAUAGAGUUUCCCUUCGGGGCAGAGGUGACAGGUGGUGCAUGGUUGUCGUCAGCUCGUGUCGUGAGAUGUUGGGUUAAGUCCCGCAACGAGCGCAACCCUUAUUGUUAGUUGCCAUCAUUCAGUUGGGCACUCUAGCGAGACUGCCGGUAAUAAACCGGAGGAAGGUGGGGAUGACGUCAAAUCAUCAUGCCCCUUAUGACCUGGGCUACACACGUGCUACAAUGGCUGGUACAACGAGUCGCAAGCCGGUGACGGCAAGCUAAUCUCUGAAAGCCAGUCUCAGUUCGGAUUGUAGGCUGCAACUCGCCUACAUGAAGUCGGAAUCGCUAGUAAUCGCGGAUCAGCACGCCGCGGUGAAUACGUUCCCGGGCCUUGUACACACCGCCCGUCACACCACGAGAGUUUGUAACACCCGAAGUCGGUGAGGUAACCGUAAGGAGCCAGCCGCCUAAGGUGGGAUAGAUGAUUGG
RNAcentral lists this ribosomal RNA (1463 nucleotides) under uncultured organism. RNAcentral's name for it is "16S ribosomal RNA". It matches the Rfam family "Bacterial small subunit ribosomal RNA". The record is from RNAcentral.